AAUUGGAGGGCAAGUCUGGUGCCAGCAGCCGCGGUAAUUCCAGCUCCAAUAGCGUAUAUUAAAGUUGUUGCAGUUAAAAAGCUCGUAGUUGAAUUUCGGGAUUAGUGCGCCGGUCGUGCCUUCGGUAUGUACUGGUGUUACUGGUUCCUACCUUCUGACGAACCGUCAUGUCAUUAAUUUGGUGUGGCGGGGAAUCAGGACUGUUACUUUGAAAAAAUUAGAGUGUUUAAAGCAGGCUCGCGCUUGAAUACAUUAGCAUGGAAUAAUGAAAUAGGACGUUCGAUCCUAUUUUGUUGGUUUCUAGGAUUGACGUAAUGAUUAAUAGGGAUAGUUGGGGGCAUUAGUAUUCAAUUGUCAGAGGUGAAAUUCUUGGAUUUAUUGAAGACUAACUACUGCGAAAGCAUUUGCCAAGGAUGUUUUCAUUAAUCAAGAACGAAAGUUAGGGGAUCGAAGACGAUCAGAUACCGUCGUAGUCUUAACCAUAAACUAUGCCGACUAGGGAUCGGAUGAUGUUAUUUUUAAUGACUCAUUCGGCGCCUUACGGGAAACCAAAGUGU
RNAcentral lists this ribosomal RNA (557 nucleotides) under uncultured Glomus. RNAcentral describes it as "SSU rRNA". It matches the Rfam family "Eukaryotic small subunit ribosomal RNA", at positions 546 to 1106 of the family's 1831-position model. Lineage: Eukaryota; Fungi; Glomeromycota; Glomeromycetes; Glomerales; Glomeraceae. The record is from RNAcentral.